AAUUUUGGACAAUGUGGGAAACCCUGAUCCAGCCAUCCCGCGUGUAUGAUGAAGGCCUUCGGGUUGUACAGUACUUUUGGCAGAGAACAAAAGGUAUCCCCUAAUACGGGAUACUGCUGACCGUAUCUUCAGCAUAAGCACCGCCUAACUACGUUCCAUCAGCCGCGGUAAUAUGUAGGGUGCAAGCGUUAAGCGGAAUUACUGAGCGUAAAGCGUGUGUAGGCGGUUCGGAAAGAAAGAUGUGAAAUCCCAGGGCUAAACCUUGGAACUGCAUUUUUAACUGCCGAGCUAGAGUAUGUCAGAGGGGGGUAGAAUUCCACGUGUAGCAGUGAAAUGCGUAGAUAUGUGGAGGAAUACCGAUGGCGAAGGCAGCCCCCUGGGAUAAUACUGACGCUCAGACACGAAAGCGUGGGGAGCAAACAGG
RNAcentral lists this ribosomal RNA (424 nucleotides) under uncultured bacterium. RNAcentral describes it as "partial 16S ribosomal RNA". It matches the Rfam family "Bacterial small subunit ribosomal RNA", at positions 360 to 776 of the family's 1533-position model. The record is from RNAcentral.